Non-coding RNA from Heterocephalus glaber (naked mole-rat), 71 nucleotides. The record is from Rfam. NCBI's taxonomy places the organism in Eukaryota, Metazoa, Chordata, Mammalia, Rodentia, Bathyergidae.
UGGGAUGUAGCUCAGUGGUAGAGCAUGUGCUAGUGUGCAUGAGGCUCUGGGCUCAAUCCCCAGCACCCCGC